AGGUUGUCUACAAAGUAUCCAACCUAUGGCAAUGUUGAACAAAAGUAAAGUAAAAAGUCAAGUAAGAAGUUUUUCAUUGGGUCUAGUACCCAAAUUUGGGAUCCCAGGCACCUGUGACCAACACAGGGCCACUGGUUUUGCCCGGUACUCUUUAGUGGGUAUGCCAGUUGUCCUUCCGGACCCUAUUCUUUAUUGUACAUCUAUGCAAUGCGGCCUAUUAAUGCCAACUUCCUUUUUGUCCAUCACAGUUAUCAAUAACACAAGUUUGUACAUGUAUGUUUUUUCAAGUCUUUAAUAAAUUCAAUGAAAACCA
Long non-coding RNA from Saccostrea cuccullata (small rock oyster), 313 nucleotides. RefSeq lists it as uncharacterized. The record is from RefSeq and is a predicted model, not a curated record. The transcript has 2 exons. Lineage: Eukaryota; Metazoa; Mollusca; Bivalvia; Ostreida; Ostreidae.